UUCCGGUUGAUUCCUGCCAGAGGUCACUGCUAUCGGUGUUCGACUAAGCCAUGCGAGUCAAAUGUUCUUCGUGAACAUGGCGUACUGCUCAGUAACACGUGGAUAACCUGCCCUUAGGUCUGGCAUAACCCCGGGAAACUGGGGAUAAUUCCGGAUAGAUCAUCGAUGCUGGAAUGCGCUUUGAUCCAAAGCUAUUGUGCCUAAGGAUGGGUCUGCGGUCUAUCAGGUUGUAGUGGGUGUAAUGUACCUACUAGCCUACGACGGAUACGGGUUGUGGGAGCAAGAGCCCGGAGAUGGAUUCUGAGACAUGAAUCCAGGCCCUACGGGGCGCAGCAGGCGCGAAAACUUUACAAUGCAGGGAACCGCGAUAAGGGGACACCGAGUGCCAGCAUCCUAUGUUGGCUGUCCAUAUGUCUAAAUCACAUGUGUUAGCAAGGGCCGGGCAAGACCGGUGCCAGCCGCCGCGGUAACACCGGCGGCCCGAGUGGUGGCCACUAUUAUUGGGUCUAAAGGGUCCGUAGCCGGUUUGGUCAGUCUUCCGGGAAAUCUGACGGCUCAACCGUUAGGCUUUCGGGGGAUACUACCAGGCUUGGGACCGGGAGAGGUAAGAGGUACUACGGGGGUGGGAGUGAAAUCUUGUAAUCCCUGUGGGACCACCAGUGGCGAAGGCGUCUUACCAGAACGGGUCCGACGGUGAGGGACGAAAGCUGGGGGCACGAACCGGAUUAGAUACCCGGAUAGUCCCAGCUGUAAACUAUGCUCGCUAGGUGUCAGGCACGGCGCGACCGUGUCUGGUGCCGCAGGGAAGCCGUGAAGCGAGCCACCUGGGAAGUACGGUCGCAAGGCUGAAACUUAAAGGAAUUGGCGGGGGAGCACAACAACGGGUGGAGCCUGCGGUUUAAUUGGACUCAACGCCGGGA
Molecule: ribosomal RNA, 920 nt
Filed under: uncultured bacterium
Lineage: Bacteria
Description: bacterial SSU rRNA
Rfam family: Archaeal small subunit ribosomal RNA
Source: RNAcentral